AGGGUUCGAUUCUGGCUCAGGACGAACGCUGGCGGCGUGCUUAACACAUGCAAGUCGAGCGAUGAAGCUCCUUCGGGAGUGAAUUAGCGGCGGACGGGUGAGUAACACGUGGGUAACCUGCCUCAUAGAGGGGAAUAGCCUUUCGAAAGGAAGAUUAAUACCGCAUAAGAUUGUAGUACCGCAUGGUACAGCAAUUAAAGGAGUAAUCCGCUAUGAGAUGGACCCGCGUCGCAUUAGCUAGUUGGUGAGGUAACGGCUCACCAAGGCGACGAUGCGUAGCCGACCUGAGAGGGUGAUCGGCCGCAUUGGGACUGAGACACGGCCCAGACUCCUACGGGAGGCAGCAGUGGGGAAUAUUGCACAAUGGGGGGAAAAACCCCUGAUGCAGCAACGCCGCGUGAGUGAUGACGGCCUUCGGGUUGUAAAACUCUGUCUUUGGGGACGAUAAUGACGGUACCCAAGGAGGAAGCCACGGCUAACUACGUGCCAGCCGCCGC
Molecule: ribosomal RNA, 497 nt
Filed under: uncultured bacterium
Lineage: Bacteria
Description: bacterial SSU rRNA
Rfam family: Bacterial small subunit ribosomal RNA
Source: RNAcentral